RNAcentral lists this ribosomal RNA (105 nucleotides) under Bartramia rosea. The record is from RNAcentral. Lineage: Eukaryota; Viridiplantae; Streptophyta; Bryopsida; Bartramiales; Bartramiaceae.
UGAUGCGGUCAUACCAAGGCUACUACACCAGAUCCCAUCAGAACUCUGAAGUUAAGCGCCUCUAAGUCAGAAUCCAGUACUGGGAUGGGUAAUCACUAGUGAAUU